RNAcentral lists this long non-coding RNA (297 nucleotides) under Helianthus annuus (common sunflower). RNAcentral's name for it is "hypothetical non coding rna". Lineage: Eukaryota; Viridiplantae; Streptophyta; Magnoliopsida; Asterales; Asteraceae. The record is from RNAcentral.
CCGCUAAUCCGGAGAAAUCGGACAUUCUCAGAAAUUUGAUGAUUGUUGAUUGGAGUUUUGGUGCAGUUGAUUCGUUCUACUCUUAAGUUGGCUGGAAUCUGUUUUCCAGGACAAGCUAGAUGGAGGCUUGGGGUGAAGCGGGUCAAACGAAACAAGAAAGAAGAAAAGGCGUAACUUGGAUACAAGGUGAUUGCCAAGAGUGCCCGGAUGAAGAUCAAGCUCGAUGAGGAACCAAACACGAUAACAUACAAGCUUCCGCGCGACGUUUCGUCGUAUCUUUUAAAUGACGAAUUCAAU